RNAcentral lists this ribosomal RNA (382 nucleotides) under uncultured eukaryote. Its description in RNAcentral is "partial 18S ribosomal RNA". It matches the Rfam family "Eukaryotic small subunit ribosomal RNA", at positions 592 to 976 of the family's 1831-position model. The record is from RNAcentral.
CAAUAGCGUAUAUUAAAGUUGUUGCAGUUAAAAAGCUCGUAGUUGGAUUUCUGGUUGAAGCGACCGGUCGGGCGUUGAUUCGUCUGCACUGGAGUCGGUUUUGGCCAUCCUCUAGGAAAGUGCGUCUGGUAUUAAGUUAUCGGGCGUAUGAUCCUGGUCUUUUACUGUGAAAAAAUUAGAGUGUUUAAAGCAGGCCUUCGCAUUGAAUACAUUAGCAUGGAAUAAUAAGAUAGGACUUUGGUCUAUUUUGUUGGUUUGCAGACCGAAGUAAUGAUUAAUAGGGAUAGUUGGGGGUAUUUAUAUUCCGAUGUCAGAGGUGAAAUUCUUAGAUUUUCGGAAGAUAAACUUAUGCGAAAGCAUUUACCAAGGAUGUUUUCAUUAA